Molecule: ribosomal RNA, 320 nt
Filed under: uncultured Prevotella sp.
Lineage: Bacteria; Pseudomonadati; Bacteroidota; Bacteroidia; Bacteroidales; Prevotellaceae
Description: bacterial SSU rRNA
Rfam family: Bacterial small subunit ribosomal RNA
Source: RNAcentral
GAUGAACGCUAGCUACAGGCUUAACACAUGCAAGUCGAGGGGCAGCGAGAAGAAAGCUUGCUUUCUUUGUCGGCGACCGGCGCACGGGUGAGUAACGCGUAUCCAACCUUCCCCUUAGUAGAGGACAGCCCGGCGAAAGUCGGAUUAAUACUCUAUGUUCUCCUUUGAUGGCAUCAGAUGAGGAGCAAAGAUUCAUCGGUAAGGGAUGGGGAUGCGUCUGAUUAGCUUGCCGGCGGGGUAACGGCCCACCGGGGCAACGAUCAGUAGGGGUUCUGAGAGGAAGGUCCCCCACACUGGUACUGAGACACGGACCAGACUCC